RNAcentral lists this long non-coding RNA (6978 nucleotides) under Salmo salar (Atlantic salmon). RNAcentral describes it as "lncRNA (ENSSSAG00000118585.1)". The record is from RNAcentral. Lineage: Eukaryota; Metazoa; Chordata; Actinopteri; Salmoniformes; Salmonidae.
AAGCUAUGAAGGUUAAGUACUUUUGUGAAGCAUCACUGCACAGUUGAAAAAUAUAUGGCAAAUAGAUAUCCAAAAUAGAUGAUGUUGAGAGAUAGUGGGAGGGGUUGAAUGGAGCUGAAGGGUGGGACUAAUAACAGGAUAAACAGUGUAAAACAUACAGGGUCUGUAAAAUGUAUAUAGGUUCAGAACUUUUGUGAAAUAGCACAGUUACAAAUAGAAAUCAAACUGGAUGGACAUCAGAAAUAGAGGAAGGACUAAAAACAAACAAAAUACAACUAUUGUAAAAUAGAUUGUGUCUGUAAAAUGUGUAUAAGAUGUGUAAACUGAAGGUAGAAGCCUAAGUGUUUAUUAGUUUACUCCAGUUGGGGUAGGGGUGGUAGGAUUUGCGGGGAAUAAUAAAGGUAUAUUCUUUAACAAAUAUGUAUAUCUAUAUAGGUAUGUGUAUGUAUAUAUGUGUAUAUGUAUGCCUGCGUGUAUAUAUAUGGAUAUAUUUACCCAAACAAUAUAUGGGGAUUGGAAAUGAUGCAGAUAAUUACAUUGAUGGAAGCAACAAUCUUUCCACAAUAUUAAGCUGAUCCAACCCUUUAAAUGUAAAAAAUAAAUUAAAUAAAAAAACGAAUAUUUACUAAAUAAACUGAAGUAAAAAAUGUAAUAAAAAGUAACACAAUAAUAUAACAAUAACGAGGCUAUAUACAAGGGGUGCCGGUACCGAGUCAAUGUGCGGGGGUACAGGUUAGUCGAGGUAACUGUACACCGCUUGCCGUGCGGUAGCAGAGAGAACAGUCUAUGACUUGGGUGACUGGAGUCUUUGACAAUAUUUUGGGCCUUCCUCUGACACCGCCUAGUAUAUAGGUCCUGGAUGGCUGGAAGCUUGGCCCCAGUGAUCUACUGGGCCGUACGCACUACCCUCUGUAGAUCCUUACGGUCAGAUGCCGAGCAGUUGCCAUACCAGGCGGUGAUGCAACCGGUCAGAAUGCGCUCGAUGGUGCAGCUGUAGAACUUUCUGAGGGGGAAAAGGUGUUGUCGUGCUCUCUUCACGACUGUCUUGGUGUGUUUGGACCAUGAUAGUUCAUUGGUGAUGUGGACACCAAGGAACUUGAAACUCUCGACCCGCUCCACUACAGCCCUGUCACUUAAUGGGGGCCUGUUUGGCCCUCCUUUUCCUGUAGUCCACGAUCAGCUCCUUUGUCUUGCUCGCAUUGAGGGAGAGGUUGUUGUCCUGACACCACACUGCUAGGUCUCUGACCUCCUCCCUAUAGGCUGUCUCAUCGUUGUCGGUGAUCAGCCCUACCACUUUUGCGUCAUCAGCAAAUUUAAUGAUGGUGUUGGAGUCGUGCUUCGUUACGCAGUCGCCGGUGAACAGGGAGUGCAGGACGGGACUAAGCACAGACUCCUGAGGGGCCCCAGUGUUGAGGAUCAGCAUGGCAGAUGUGUUGUUGCCUCCCUUAACACCUGGGGGCGGCCCGUCAGGAAGUCCAGAAUCCGGUUGCAGAGGGAGGUCUUUAGUCCUAGGGUCAUUAGCUUAGUGAUGAGCUUUGUGGGUACUGUGGUGUUGAACGCUGAGCUGCAGUCAAUGAACAGCAUUCUCACAUAGGUGUUCCUUUUGUCCAGGUGGGAAAGGGCAGUGUGGAGUGCGACUGAGAUUGCGUCAUCUGUGGAUCUUUUAGGGUGGUAUGCGAAUUGGAGUGGGUCUAGGGUUUCCGGGAUGAUGGUGUUGAUGUGAGCCAUGACCAGCCUUUCACAGCACUUCAUGGCUACCGACAUGAUAGUGAUAGUCAUUUAGGCCGGUUACCUUCGCUUUCUUGGGCACGGAGACUAUGGUGUUCUGCUUGAAACAUGUAGGUAUUACAGACUCGGUCAGGGAUAGGUUGAAAAUGUAAGUGAAGACAUUUCUUAGUAGGUCGACGCAUGCUCUGAGUACAUGUCUUGGUAAUUUGUCUGACUGGUGAAUUUAUAAUAAGAAUCAAUAAUAUCUGCUGUCAUUACAUUGGGGACAUGCGUAAUAGCAUGCUUGCCCCAUGAAAUUAUGUCAUAGACCAAAUCUGAAAGGUCCCUAAAUCAAAUACACAAAACAACAACUUCUACCUCUGUAUGACAUCACCACUCUACCCUCAAUGCUGUGAGAGAACUUUAGGCUCUAUGUCGGCCACUUCCUUCCCUCCCUCCCUCCAUCCCUGCCUCCAUCCCUCCAAUGUCACCCCUUUCAAUAGUCCCCCCCUGACAAAUAGCCCACUUUGGUAGCCCUUCACUGUGUGGCUCAUCUGAGAAGAGAAACGGAAUAGAAACCCUUGACAAUGCUGAGGGUGCAGGGGGAAUAGGGCCCAACAGCCAUUCAGCAGGUGCACCUCUGUGGCCCCCCCACUCAGUUCCCACACAUAUCAGUGAGAGUGGUCUCCAGCCCUAGAGAGUUACCCCUGAAUCGCAGUCCAAAUAUCAGGUAUCGAUCAAUUAAUGGUGGAGAACAAGGGCUACUCCACUGGGGGUGAUGUCCAUGCAGGGCUCCCAUCCAGUGUCCCAGUAUCCCACCCUGAAACCUCCCUGUCCCUCCCCAGGCUCGGAACGCACAGAAGCACUCAUUUGCAACCCUAUCUGUGUGGCCGGGUCCUGGUGAAUGUGUGCAAGCUGCGAUGGGAGGGACUGAGAUGCUAUCUGGGGAUGGCUGUGGCUGUGAGAACCAGCACUGGCAUCUACUGGCAUCUUUGUUUGUCUGGGGGCAGAGUGGAGUGGUGGUGCUGUGAUGGACAGGAGGACUCCUGGAGGACAGGGAUGGGUACUGGAGUCGGGUGAAUCUGUGUGGCAGGGUUAAAGACAGCCAUGCAAGGCACAGGUACACAUUUGCAUGAGUGCACACGAACAUGCACGCAACGACAUGCAAUGACACGCACACACGCGCACACACACACACACACACACACACACACACACACACACACACACACACACACACACACACACACACUGAUGUUUCUACUAUGAUGCAUAUCAGUCUCAGUAUCUACUAGACUACUACAAUCUAUACCAUCUAGAUGGAAAAGCAAUAUGUGUGAACUUUGAACGCCUUGUAUAAUGCCUCUCCAGGAAGUGUUAUUAACUGGUGACUGUGCUCCUUAUUUGACAUUCCAUUCCUAUCAGUUCAGUGGGAAAACAUGUUUACCUAUGGUUGACGGCUGGUGAUAUGCUAACGUUAAUCACUGAGUGUGUGUCUGCUAAUUGCAUUCUUGACCAAGAGCAAACAGAUUUGAUCCCCUGUGCUCAUAAAGCAUGAUGGAACAUCAUACCAGGUGAACUGAGGUUCCCAGCAUGCAUUGUACAGUUCAUGAGGGAAGAGCCCCAUUCCAGAGUGGAAUAUAUCCAACAUGUAAGCACAGAAUAACAACCAUACUUAAGGUUUUCUGAUGGAUAACACUGCACAUGGCCUGACCCGUUCUAUUCCCACACUGGUCCUCUCCCCCUACAGCUAAUGCCCCUCGUUUACUACCACAAACUUAGUGUCCAUUCUGUGGGGGGUUCUUUAUAGCGUGUAGAAUGUGGUAAAAGUGUUUACAUGGCAUUUCCUGCCAGUCAUGGUAGACCACCUCCAUGGUAACCCCAGCAGCAAACAGAGCUGGGAGUCUCAAACAGUUUUAUAUAAUAUCACACAAAUGUGCCUAAUUUGUUUAUUAAUAACUUUUCAUGUUCAAAAUUGUGCACUCUCCUCAAACAAUAGCAUGGUAUUAUUUCACUGUAAUAGCUACUGUAAAUUGGACAUUGCAGUUAGAUUAACAAAAAUGUAUGCUUUCUGUCAAUAUCAGAUAUGUCUAUGUCCUGGGAAAUGUUCUUGUCACUUACAACCUCAUGCUAAUCGUAUUAGUCUAUGUUAGCUCAACCGUCCCAUGGAAGGGACACCGAUCCCGAAGAUGUGUUAACUAACAUUGGGGCACAUUUCACCGCCUUAGGCCUCCAGUCAGUCUCGUUAGUCCAGUGAUUGCUUGCUAUGUGACAUUGGUGGAUUCAUGUGCCAUUGGUGGGUGUAUGUGCCAUUGGUGAGUACAUGUGACAUUGGUGGGUGUAUGUGCCAUUGGUGGGUGUAUGUGACAUUGGUGAAUACAUGUGACAUUGGUGGGUUCAUGUGCCAUUGGUGGGUGUAUGUGCCAUUGGUGGGUGUAUGUGACAUUAGUGGGUACAUGUGACAUUGGUGGGUGUAUGUGCCAUUGGUGGGUACUAUGUGACAUUGGUGGGUGUAUGUGGAAUUGGUGGCUGUAUGUGACAUUGGUAGGUGUAUGUGACAUUGGUGGGUGUAUGUGGAAUUGGUGGGUGUAUGUGCCAUUGGUGAGUGCCUGUGCCAUUGGUAGGUGUAUGUGCCAUUGGUGAGUACAUGUGACAUUGGUGGGUGUAUGUGCCAUUGGUGGGUGUAUGUGACAUUGGUGAAUACAUGUGACAUUGGUGGGUUCAUGUGCCAUUGGUGGGUGUAUGUGCCAUUGGUGGGUGUAUGUGACAUUGGUGGGUACAUGUGACAUUGGUGGGUGUAUGUGACAUUGGUGGGUGUAUGUGGAAUUGGUGGGUGUAUGUGCCAUUGGUGAGUGCCUGUGCCAUUGGUGGGUGUAUGUGCCAUUGGUGGGUGUAUGUGACAUUGGUGGGUACAUGUGACAUUGGUGGGUGUAUGUGCCAUUGGUGGGUACUAUGUGACAUUGGUGGGUGUAUGUGGAAUUGGUGGGUGUAUGUGACAUUGGUAGGUGGUGUAUGUGACAUUGGUAGGUGUAUGUGACAUUGGUGGGUGUAUGUGGAAUUGGUGGGUGUAUGUGCCAUUGGUGAGUGCCUGUGCCAUUGGUGGGUGUAUGUGCCAUUGGUGAGUACAUGUGACAUUGGUGAGUGUAUGUGCCAUUGGUGAGUACAUGUGACAUUGAUGGGUGUAUGUACCAUUGGUGGGUGUAUGUGCCAUUGGUGGGUGUAUGUGACAUUGGUGAAUACAUGUGACAUUGGUGGGUUCAUGUGACAUUGAUGGGUGUAUGUGCUAUUGGUGGGUGUAUGUGACAUUGGUAGGUGUAUGUGACAUUGGUGGGUGUAUGGGCCAUUGGAGGGUGUAUGGGCCAUUGGAGGGUGUAUGUGCCAUUGCUGGGUGUAUAUACCAUUGGUGGGUACAUGUAUGCGCUGUUGUGUUAUAAUGUAACUUUCAGAGACUAUUCACUUGAUCACAAGAAAAUAUUGUAUCGUUAUUCCAGCUAUAUUUUUGUUGCAUUUUAUUAAAUUUUUUAUGUGUCAUAUUUUACAUGACACAGUGACCAAAUUAAAGAUAUUGAACUAAAGCUACAUUCCUAAAUAGCCUACACAUUUAAAAUUAUUCAAUGUAUUUUCAAUGUAAUUCUUCUAAUGAAUUUGGCAUUUGACUUCAUGUAAGAGUAUAGUCAGAUAAAAGGUUAUAGUUGAUAGAGGCUCAUCUCAUGCUACUGGAAUCUUCAUGGGCUUUAUUUUAACACAGCUGAUUAAAAUAGUGCUGUCUUCGGUGUUCAGAGUGGCUUGUGUUCUCCUUUCCUCUCUCUGAAAGGCUGUGGAGCGAGAAACCUACAAUUUCUGUUACCAGACAAGGGGGAGAGGAUAGAGGGAGAGAUGAUCGAGGGAGAGAUGAUAGAGGGGGAGAUAAUAGAGGGAGAGAGGAUAGAGGGAGAGAGGGUAAAGAGGGGAUAGAGAACAGAGAAAGUCCCCUGUGUCCCAUACCACCUCCCCCUUCACCACCCCACAAGACCAAAGGGGGAAGUCGGGAGGAAGUGAGCAUUGCUAAACAAGGGAGGUCUUUAGGACUUAGAGGAACCCUCCCUCCCUCUGCUUUGAGUGACAUGUUGUUGAAAGACUUACGUGUGCUCCGCCAUUGUUGUUAUGACAACAGGGCUGGUACAGUCCUGAACCACCUGUGACGCUGACCCCAAACGUGACCUCUUCACCUGAGGUCACUUCCUCAUUGGAACUGAAGUAUGCCUGCGCAGCCCUGAAUGAGUGUGUGCUCUACAUAGGCCUUCCAUUGCAUUUACAUUUUUACAUGUACGUCAUUUAGCAGACGCUCUUAUCCAGAGCGACUUACAAAUUGGUGCAUUCACCUUAUGAUAUCCAGUGGAACAACCACUUUACAAUAGUACAUCUAUAUAUAUUUUUUUUUGGGGGGGGUUAGAAGGAUUACUAUAUCCUAUCCCAGGUAUUCCUUAAAGAGGUGGGGUUUCAGGUGUCUACGGAAGGUGGUGAUUGACUCCGCUGUCCUGGCGUCGUGAGGGAGCUUGUUCCACCAUUGGGGUGCCAGGGCAGCGAACAGUUUUGACUGGGCUGAGCGGGAACUGUGCUUCCGCAGAGGUAGGGGGGCCAGCAGGCCAGAGGUGGAUGAAAGCAGUGCCCUUGUUUGGGUGUAGGGCCUGAUCAGAGCCUGAAGGUACGGAGGUGCCGUUCCCCUCACAGCUCCGUAGGCAAGCACCAUGGUCUUGUAGCAGAUGCGAGCUUCAACUGGAAGCCAGUGGAGUGUGCGGAGGAGCGGGGUGACGUGAGAGAACUUGGGAAGGUUGAACACCAGACGGGCUGCGGCGUUCUGGAUGAGUUGUAGGGGUUUAAUGGCACAGGCAGGGAGCCCCGCCAACAGUUGCAGUAAUCCAGACGGGAGAUGACAAGUGCCUGGAUUAGGACCUGCGCCGCUUCCUGUGUAAGGCAGGGUCGUACUCUGCGAAUGUUGUAUAGCAUGAACCUACAGGAUCGGGUCACACGCCGAGGCUCUUAACACUCUGGGAGGAGGACACAAUGGAGUUGUCCACCGUGAUGGCGAGAUCAUGGAAAGGGCAGUCCUUCCCCGGGAGGAAGAGCAGCUCCGUCUUGCCGAGGUUCAGCUUGAGGUGGUGAUCCAUCAUCCACACUGAUAUGUCUGCCAGACAUGCAGAGAUGCGAUUCACCACCUGGUUAUCAGAAGGGGGAAAGGAGAAGAUUAAUUGUGUGUCGUCUGCGUAGCAAUGAUAGGAGAGACCAUGUGAG